AGAAGCCCUGAAGGAGGAACUCCCUCUGGGGAUCCUCCAACCACUGCGUACCAGAGUGGGGUGGAGAGCCGAGGGUUAGAGAGAGGGAAAGAGCAGAAUUCAGGCACUUAAACAGCCCAAAAGUCCCAUGCUGCUGGGCUCGUUGGAGGGGAAGCAGGGAAGCCAGAGGCUGUGACUUACCGUGCCGGGUUCAGAUGCUGCCAACUGGGAACCUUGUCACAAUGUGGUAUCUCAGUCCAGAGUCCUAUUCAUCACAUACAUACCCCAGACUGACUGGGAGCCUAAUUCCCAAUGUGUGGCAGGUCAGUCCCAAUGGGCCACCUUCUUGAAAUUCAGCUUAAUAAUAACUUCAGGAACAUUUCAAGGCAGUCACCCUCACCAGGCCCCAAGGAGGGUGUUCUAGCUCUAAACCCAGCCCGUAAUACCAGGGACCCAUUUUUCUCACAAGCUUAGCCAGCUGCUCAGGCCACUCAGACGCUACACCCAUGGAUGAAAAUGGUGGGCCUGCUCCCUGCUUCAAGCGGCGCUCCAGUCUUUAAGAAGCAAAGCGACUCCCAAAUCUAAAACUACCUUUAUUUGUGGUUGGCUCAGCAUAAAUCACCUUCAUCAAUGAGCAGAAUUAUAAAACUGUACAAGAGGUACAAAAAUAGGCCGUUUACCUUAGAUAACGGCCCUCAUAUCAUGAGCUUUAAAAAAUACACAUAAAAGUUGUACAAUCUGGCAGUUUAUAAAAUAUAAAGCUAAAAAGAAUAUUUUAGUUUCCAUGAAGAGGAGUGAAUCAUACAAUCAGCACAUAUCAAUUAAACAAUUACCUGUCCACAGAGAAGACACAUGGCACAUGAUUUUAAAAAAAUCGUCUAAAAAUUAACAUUUUACCCAGACCAAACUAUUUACCCUUUACAGAUAAGGCUACCAUAAGGUGGCAGGAUACAGUGUGACUUUCCUUUUCCAGUUUUAAAAUGGUCAGGGUAUUCAAAACAGAUCUGAUGUGCUUUAAGCAAGUGCAAUUGUAACCAGAUAACUUCAGAGUAAAAAUUAAAUAAAUAUAAAUAGAUUCAAUAAAUAGGUCGUUGCAAAAAGAACUACACAAGGUCCUUGUAUGGGGACGCCACAUAGCUGGCUGGUAAUGCUUAGGUGAGUAGGUGAGUGGGGACUCCCCAUCACAGUUUUAGGGACACUGGGAAGGAAUACUAUACCCACCAAACACAUGGGCAACAGGAGACAUGAGGCCACAGGACUCUGGCAAGCAGUGUAGCUAAGGCUGCUCCAGAGGGAGGCUCAGCACAGAUGACACAGCCUCUGUGUCUUUCUAGAAACAACAUAAGAGACCUAAGUGCCCAAAGCAACCAGAAUUACACAUGGAAGGCCAAUCACUAGUUUAUAAUGAAAACCAAGAAUAGGGAAGAGAGCAGGCACUUUGGCUUCAAAGAAUUCAGACCUCAGUUGGAGGUCUGAUAACCUUCAGGGGAAGCAGACCCCUGGUGGCCAACACCCUGGCUUCCAGAUGUGAGUGAUGGGUAAGGAUAGAGCUGUUGGAGAAGCAAUCACAGAGAAACAUGAAGAGGGAUUUCAGAGGGCAGCUGUUGCUUGCUCUUUCUGCACCUCUGGAUGAUGAAGACAAUGAACAAGGAACAGAGCCAGAAGCAGAUGGAAGAAUCCUGGCAGAGCUGGAGGGUGGGACCUGCAGAACGUCACACAGGACCAAAGCCCUGCAGAUGACAAGCAAGUGACCAGCACAGGAGAGCUUGCAGCCAGAGGUGACUCUGCAGAUGGGUCACAGCAGCAGCUGACUGAAUUACAUGUGCACAAGUCCUCCAUAAAAUCAAGUGGAGUCUGAGCAGCCUCUCAUCCCAUGUUGGGUAGAGAGCACUUGGCUGCGUCUGCUGACCCCAGACCUCCACCUUCUCUGUAAUGCAUCACGGGAAGAGCCUACAGUUACUGCUUUACUGAGAGCAGGGGACAACUCUGCAGAGGUUCACGUCAGUCUCUAGAUGGCCCAGUGAUACCUAUGUUCCCAAAAGUGCAAGUGCUUUGGUGCUUAAUGACUCGGCACAUUUCCUAAACUUAAAUCUCAACACAAGACAAGGUUUUAACAAAGAUAACAUCCCACAGCUCGAUUCCAUCCUAAAGCUGAAGGUGCUGGGCAGUCUUCCAGGGAUCCCAGCAGCCUCUCAAGAUGCUACAAUGCACAGAGCUGCCCGGGCCUGAAGGCAGACAGCAUCUCUUGCUGAGCACCCCAGAUGCCCAGUGUUUUCGUGACACCCAGAGAGCUAACAACUGCCUUGUUCCUAGAGGACACACAGAGGCGAGCUGACCACAAGCUGACUGGUUCUGAGAUGGACAGUUUUAAGGCACAAGUGGGGCAAACCCCAAAUAUACAUCCUUCCUACCCA
This is a long non-coding RNA of Mesocricetus auratus (golden hamster), 2393 nucleotides long. RefSeq lists it as uncharacterized. The record is from RefSeq and is a predicted model, not a curated record. The transcript has 2 exons. NCBI's taxonomy places the organism in Eukaryota, Metazoa, Chordata, Mammalia, Rodentia, Cricetidae.